This is a long non-coding RNA of Frieseomelitta varia, 1070 nucleotides long. RefSeq lists it as uncharacterized. The transcript has 3 exons. Lineage: Eukaryota; Metazoa; Arthropoda; Insecta; Hymenoptera; Apidae. The record is from RefSeq and is a predicted model, not a curated record.
AUGUAUGUUUGCGUGUCAUGUGAAUGUUGUGUAUUGAGAGUUAGGAAAAACAGAAGAAGAACGAGUAGUAGUAUGGAGAGUGUAUCCAGAGUGUAAAGAGGAAAGAAACGCUGUGUGCUAAGAAACAAAGUAAUUUCUCAAAUUGACGCUUUUCUGAAUUAUUUUCCCAACAAAAAGUAUUAGAAAAAACUGAUUGAAAGCACUUAUAAUGCCAAUCAGUGUCAACUUAUAAUGAAUGGAACAAUAAAAACAACGCAAUUCUACAUCCUAACCACACACACACAUACAUGUGGAAAAUAAGUCGUGCAAGAUACUCUGUCAGUUGCUGAGAAAUUUUUUUAUAAAAUUACAAACUAUGGUCAUCGUGCUCAAUGUUUUUCACACACCCAAAUAGCACCUGGGCACAAAUGCAAGAUAAUGAGGAAAAUGAACAUGAAUUUAUUAAAAAAGAAAUACAAUGAAAUCUAAUAAUUGACUGAAACAAUCAGAGUCAAAUAAUUGUCAAUCUAAAUUAAAUAUUAAUAGAAAUAACCUCAGGCGACUUCUCAUCAAAGCACAUUUUCGAAAAUGCGAAAGUAGUGUUCAAACUUGUUGUUUUGAUUAAAAAAUCUGCCUGUCGCGAAAUAUCUUCUUGUACAUAAAAUUUCAUACAUUUUUCUACGGAAAAAAUAUUCUAAUCUGCUAUACUUUAAAUCCCAUUGAAGUUCAUAAUUAUAAAUUCAAUUAAUUAAAUUAUUUAAUACUGUUAAUAUAACUUCCUAUUAUAAAAAGGAAGAUGAAAUUGAAAAUUAUUAAUUAUUAAAACAAAAUAUAUUACCGGUAUCAAUAAGUAAUAAUUGCAUCUUUCGCAGCAAUGAAGUCAAAAGGACAUGAUUGAGUGACCGAAGAAACAUAAGUGCAUGCGACUCACGCGACAGAUGUGAAGAAUCCUCGAUGCUGCACUGGAACAGGGAAAGUUAUCGUGAAGUCUCCCAUCAAGUAGAUACCAUUUGCCAUGAUGGUAAUGGACGCGUGAAAAAUUUCUAAAAGAAACAACAUUUUGUUUCUAAAGACACAGUGUUAUUUGUCAA